UGAUGAAGUGGGAGCCAAGUCCUCAUAGCCCU
Molecule: non-coding RNA, 32 nt
Filed under: Mus musculus (house mouse)
Lineage: Eukaryota; Metazoa; Chordata; Mammalia; Rodentia; Muridae
Source: RNAcentral